This 305-nucleotide ribosomal RNA is filed under the name uncultured bacterium. RNAcentral describes it as "bacterial SSU rRNA". It matches the Rfam family "Bacterial small subunit ribosomal RNA", at positions 338 to 641 of the family's 1533-position model. The record is from RNAcentral.
CCUACGGGGCGCAGCAGUGAGGAAUAUUGGUCAAUGGCCGGAAGGCUGAACCAGCCAAGCCGCGUGAAGGACGAAGGUGCCAAGCAUUGUAAACUUCUUUUGUCAAGGGACAAAAUCAGGCUCGAGAGCCUGACCGAGGGUACUUGAAGAAAAAGCAUCGGCUAACUCCGUGCCAGCAGCCGCGGUAAUACGGAGGAUGCGAGCGUUAUCCGGAUUUAUUGGGUUUAAAGGGUGCGUAGGCGGGCUGUUAGGUCAGCGGUAGAAGACAGGGGCGCAACCCCGGCGAGCCGGUGAAACAGGCCGUC